Molecule: ribosomal RNA, 253 nt
Filed under: uncultured bacterium
Lineage: Bacteria
Description: partial 16S ribosomal RNA
Rfam family: Bacterial small subunit ribosomal RNA
Source: RNAcentral
CACGUAGGAGGCGAGCGUUGUCCGGAAUCAUUGGGCGUAAAGAGCGCGCAGGCGGCCCGGCAAGUCGGGUGUGAAAUCCCGGGGCUCAACCCCGGGACUGCAUUCGAUACUGUCGGGCUAGAGGUAGGUAGGGGAGAUCGGAAUUCCUGGUGUAGCGGUGAAAUGCGCAGAUAUCGGGAGGAACACCAAUGGCGAAGGCAGCUCGCUGGGACGUUACUGACGCUGAGGCGCGAAAGCUAGGGGAGCGAACGGG